RNAcentral lists this unclassified non-coding RNA (2320 nucleotides) under Bactrocera latifrons. Its description in RNAcentral is "dual specificity tyrosine-phosphorylation-regulated kinase 2, transcript variant X1". Lineage: Eukaryota; Metazoa; Arthropoda; Insecta; Diptera; Tephritidae. The record is from RNAcentral.
CUUAGUAUUGAUAAUCAAGAAAGAGGAAAGAUUGAUGCAGUUGACAAGAGUUGGUAUUCCUCUAAAUCUCUUACGGCCAGUAAUGCGUGGAUCGAAUGAAAGCCGUGGGGAGACGAUCACGUUUAACGUGCUGUUGUGACUCAAUAAAGAUUUUGCCAAACCUUACCUCUGCUGGGGGGAAAUGAAAAGACUUUUCCUGACAGUUAGGAACGUAUUUCUUAUAAUAGUAACAAACGUCAAAACAAACCUUUUGCUUCAGUGAACAGAAUGCAUCAAAACAAUACUGAGUUGGAACAAUUGAAAUGCAAUAUCACUACAACCAAUGUUCUAAAUAAACAAUCAUCAAAACAACCUUAUCUUGGAACAAUAGAAGUGCACUAUCACAACAAUAACAACCCAAAUAGUUAUUUACUAGUAAACAACUAACAUCGCAAUAGUAUAAGUAGCACUUAGAUUUAUGGAAACAAACCUAAACAAAGAAGAUAUGGUAUUAUAUCUAAACAAAUUAACAACUAAUAAUAAGCAAACAUACUAGUUAGUAUAAAUAGAAAUAAUAACGAUGUAAUAAGUUAGUCUUAAGAGUAUAAAUAAAGAGUACACAUUUUGGUGCAGCUCAAAAUAUAUUCUUUUGACUCAUUUUUACUUAAUGUAAAAAUUAACUGAGGGCUCAACCGGGAUGGCAAAUUUAUUUGCUGUUCAAAAAGCCAGAUUUUAUUCCGAAAGGCAUAAAUCAAAAAAUUCCACAGGAAGUAGGACUUCCAGCACUAAAUGCCGUAAAAAAAUGCAGAAAUAAACGACAAUGAAUAAAAGUCCUGUAACAGCGGACAAUAUUUCCAGAAUGAAUCAAAGCAGAUCCUGAAAAAACUGAAAGCGGCGAAUUCAGCAAGAUUCACAACUAACCCAAGCAUAACUACAUACCAAAUUAAAGGACGAAGAAAAGAGUAAAAGAAUAUCAACAAAGAAAUCUUUUGGAUCAAUCUCAUCAACGACAACCUCCAUCAGUCCUAAUGGACGUGGCUCGACUUUGUCAAACAAAAAUUUCAGCAAUGAAUCAUCGCCUCGAAUAACGUGUUUUUAGACAUUGAGCUGCGUCCCAAAGUCAGUAGUGAGUUGGAAAACGUUUUAAGUCCUGGUGAUCAUGGCAAAUUUAGAGGUGUUGAGCAUCAUUCAAAAGUGCAAUAAAGGAAAAAAAAACGUUAAAUAAAUUAUGAAAAUUGGAAAGAUAUAAGUAAUAAGAGGCUGAGAAAUAGUGGAGAAGCAUUUUCAGGAAGAAAUGGAAAAGCUGUACAUAAAAAAAAUGCUCCAGAAACGGUAAUGUGGAAAAACGUUGUAAGUGUAAGCUGUGUCAAUAUCAGUUUUGUUUUUUUUUACGUUCUUUAAUCGAAUUGAAAGAACCGCAAAGAAGAAGAGUUUCAGAGGGCACAUCACGUCGAAAUGCAACUGUGAAUUAUUUUCUACCACAGCACAAUGAGAGAAACGUGAGAGUGUGCAAACAAAUGAUUUGUCAUACCUUUCAAGUGACACAACGAAGAUUUAAAAUAUUAGUUGAAAAACUGAAGGCGGGAGAUAGUUUGAGUGAUCAGCGUGGACGACAUGAUAAUCGGCCGAAUAAAAUCGUUAAUGCCGAAAAGAAAAGUGUCAUAGAACACAUAGAAAGCUUUCCUGGUCAAGAAAGUCACUACAGUCGUUCUAGUUCAAAAAAAAAAAAAAAAAAAUUUCCUCCAUCCAGAUUUAACUAUUACAAAAAUGAUUAAAUUAUUCAAGGAAAAAUAUCCAGAUAGCACUAUGAGUUAUAAUACAUACAGAGAUAUAUUUAACGCAGAAUUCAGUUUGCGGUUUGGAUUACCAAAGUCCCACACUUGUCAGCUCUGCGAUAAAUAUUAUAUAGAAACGACUGCCGCUGGCAGAGGCACAUCACAAAAAGGCUGAAAAAGCAUAUUCUAAGCUGAGUGAUGACACAAAGUCAGCUUUAGGCAGUUCCCAUAUUGUUGCGAUUUGCGUUGACUUACAGCAAGUGAUUUAUACUCCAAAUCUCACACAUACGGACGUCUUUAAUCAGCGGCAGUAUUCGAAUUACAACUUCGCUAUAAAUAAUUUGGGGCAAAAUACUGUUGACAUGUAUACUUGGCAUGAAACAGUUGCAAAAAGGGGUGUAGCUGAAAUCGCUUCAUAUAUUUUAAGACACAUCACUUCCACCUACGCUAUUUUAAAGGCUGGAGAUGUGAGAAAUUUAAUUAUUUGGUCCAACAGAUGUGUGGGUCAAAAUAAUAAUUGGACCAUGAUCGCCUUAAUUUACCUUAUAAUAAAAAUGAAAUACUUU